GACGAACGCUGGCGGCGUGCCUAACACAUGCAAGUCGAACGAAGAAUGUUUUUCGGAAUAUUCUUAGUGGCGGACGGGUGAGUAACGCGUGAACAAUCUGCCCCGUACAAAGGGAUAGCCUCGGGAAACCGGGAUUAAAACCAUAUAACGCUUUAGUACCGCAUGGUAAUAAAGUCAAAUCGAUUAAGAGGUAUGGGAUGAGUUCGCGUCUGAUUAGCUAGUUGGUGAGGUAAGGGCUCACCAAGGCGACGAUCAGUAGCCGGCCUGAGAGGGUGAACGGCCACACUGGAACUGAGACACGGUCCAGACUCCUACGGGAGGCAGCAGUGGGGAAUAUUGCACAAUGGAGGGAACUCUGAUGCAGCGACGCCGCGUGAGUGAAGAAGGUCUUCGGAUCGUAAAACUCUGUCCCUUGGUGAAGAAAAGGACGGUAGCCGAAGGAGGAAGCCCCGGCUAACUACGUGCCAGCAGCCGCGGUAAUAGUCACGGUCG
Molecule: ribosomal RNA, 492 nt
Filed under: uncultured bacterium
Lineage: Bacteria
Description: bacterial SSU rRNA
Rfam family: Bacterial small subunit ribosomal RNA
Source: RNAcentral